UCCUGGCCUCAAGUGAUCCACCUCCCUCAGCCUCUCAAAGUGUUGAGAUUAAGAUGUGAGCUACCAUGCCUGGCCUAGUGACUGUCUUUCAAAUUUCUUUUGAUAUUGGGCAGUGCCCCUGGCUACCCAAAAUGCAUGAGUUCAACACUGAAGGUUCCAAAGUGGUCGACUUGCUUCCAUACUCAGUGUCUCUAAUUCAGCCUUUAGAUCGGGGGUCAUAAGGGCCUUUAAGGCUCAUUACGCACAGUACUGUAUGGAAAGAAUUGUCAACACUAUGGAAAAGAACCCUGAGAGAGAGAUCAUCAUGAGAGUCUAGAAAGGUGAUAUCUUUGAAAAUGCCACCAUUGUUAUAGAAUAAAGUUGUAAAUGCCAUCAAGCCUGAAAUCACUAAAUUCCUGCUGAAGAAAACUGUGUCCAGAUAUGCAUGACUUUCCCAGAUUUAUGACAGAGCCAAUCAAGGAAUCAUGAAAGUGAUUGUGGUCAUGGCAAAAAAAAAAAAAAAAAAAAAAAAAAAAAAAAAAAAAAAGUGGCCAGGGGAGGUGAAUGGUUUCAAGAUAGGCAUCAUGGAGAAAUUCAAGAGCUAAUCAAGGGUCAACUGUAUUUUGAGCCUGAAGAAAUGAAUAUUUUCAAUACUUAUUUUCAUUCAUUAGUAUACUAAAAGGAAAUGAAAGUGACAGCAUCAAUCAAUACAGUCAUCAAUUUCCAUUAAAAUUAGAGUUGGGGUAAUUAACACAACAAAGCAUUCUCUAAAAAUAUUUGAAGGUAAUUAUACUUUUUUUUCUCACUUAUUUUUAGUAGCAUUGUCCUUUUGUAUUUUUUGGAUAGGUCAUUCUCCUGGAAAACACUUUUCCCGGAGAACUAACAAUUAAUUAUCUUUCAUCCAAGAUCCAAUAUUAGUGAAGUUGAACUGAGACUGGAAAAAGCAGCAGCAGCCUUCCGCGUCGCUGUUGCCGCCGCCACUUCCUCCGCCGCCGUGCGCCCUUCGGAGUCCCGCGCCCCACCAUGCCCAACAUCGUGCUGUUCAGGGGCAGCUCGCAUCAGGACCAGUCCCAGCGCGUGGCCGACCGCCUGGGCCUGCAGCUGGGCAAGGUGGUCACCAAGAAGUUCAGCAACCAGGAGCCCAGCGUGGAGACUGGUGACAGUGUGAGAGGGGAAGAUGUCUACAUCAUGCAGAGCGCUGCGGGGAAAUUAACGACAACCUCAUGGAGCUCCUCAUCAUGAUCAAUGCCUGCAAGAUCGCAUCAUCAUCCAGGGUGACUGCCGUGAUCCCGUGUUUCCCAUAUGCCUGACAAGAUAAAAAGGACAAGAGUCGUGCCCCAGUUUCUGCAAAACUUGUGGCCAAUAUGCUGUCGGUGGCUGGGGCGGAUCACAUCGUCACCAUGGACCUGCAUGCCUCUUGGAUACAGGGAUUCUUUUGAUAUUCCUGUGGAUAAUUUGUAUGUGGAGCCCGCAGUCCUGCAGUGGAUUCGGGAAAACAUUGCCGAGUGGAAGAACUGUAUCAUUGUUUCACCUGACGCAGGGGGAGCCAAAAGGGUCACGUCAAUCGCAGACAGGUUGAAUGUGGAAUUUGCUUUGAUCCACAAAGAGAGGAAGAAGGCGAAUGAAGUGGACCGGAUGGUCCUGGUGGGCGACGUGAAGGACUGCAUGGCCAUCCUCGUGGAUGACAUGGCUGACACAUGUGGCACCGUCUGCCAUGCCGCGGACAAGCUGCUGUCAGCUGGAGCCACCAAAGUGUAUGCUGUCCUUAUCCAUGGGAUCUUGUCUGGACCAGCUAUUUCCAGAAUAAAUAAUGCUGCCUUUGAGACUGUGGUCGUCACAAACACAAUUCCACAAGAGGACAUAAUGAAACACUGCACCAAGAUUCAGGUCACUGACAUUUCCAUGAUCUUGGCCGAAGCAAUCCGAAGGGCACACAAUGGGGAAUCCGUGUCCUAUCUGUUCAGCCAUGCCCCGCUAUAAAGCCAGAAUGGGAAGUGUCCAGCAAGCCUACUCUGACUUCUGACUUGUUUUUGUUUUCUGGAUGUUUAGCUGUAGGUACUCAGCAAUGAUAGGUUAAUCACUGGCAAAAGCAUCCGAUCUUUGUAUGUGCUAAGAUUUAUUGUUUCCCCUUCUAAAGCUCAAGAUCAUUUCUUUCCAGUUUUUGGGGAAAUGAUGGUGGUUAUUUGGUCUUUAAGUGAACUGUCUUAAAUGAGAAACAUUUUUGUCAUUUUGACUUUUAACGGGUACAUGUGAUCUCUUCCUUUGUUCUUUCAGUACUUUGAGGUGACAACUUUCAAGUAUAUAAUUUCAUUGUGGAAGUCAUAGUUUAUAUAUUUCAAGGUUGCCAAAGGUGACUUCAGAUUAAAGCCUUCUGUGUAAAUAUAUAUGAUAAUGCCUAUGGACAUUUGGGUAAAACCCUGUAUAGAAUUAAUUAGCCUUUUACUUUAGAGUGAACCUUGGAAAAUUUAUAAUUCUCAUACCAUGGAUUUUGAAUUUUUCUUUUUUUUUU
Chlorocebus sabaeus (green monkey) is the source of this 2488-nucleotide non-coding RNA. Lineage: Eukaryota; Metazoa; Chordata; Mammalia; Primates; Cercopithecidae. The record is from RefSeq and is a predicted model, not a curated record.